This 206-nucleotide unclassified non-coding RNA is filed under the name uncultured fungus. RNAcentral describes it as "sequence contains ITS1". Lineage: Eukaryota; Fungi. The record is from RNAcentral.
UUUUUUGUUUUUAAUUUGUUUACAUUCUUUAACUUGGAGUUAUAAAAUAAAGCCGCAAGACUUCAAAAGUUCGUGGAGCGCAGAACGCCACCCUUACUAUUUCGAAUUCUCGCCAAUAAGUGCACAGUGUUAGAAGUGGAGGUCGGGCACUACGAAUAGUCACCCUAAAUUCACUAAUGAUCCUUCCGCAGGUUCACCUACGGAAA